Long non-coding RNA from Mustela lutreola (European mink), 446 nucleotides. RefSeq lists it as uncharacterized. The record is from RefSeq and is a predicted model, not a curated record. The transcript is spliced from 4 exons. Lineage: Eukaryota; Metazoa; Chordata; Mammalia; Carnivora; Mustelidae.
CUAAGGUGGGUGCUGGGGAUUCAAAGACGGGCGAGAUGUGAGGUGUAAAGCCUGAUGUGUCUGCUUGAGAAACACCUAGCUGCUGACACAGACAAACGAACGGAAGAAUGUUAUACAGGAUGACCAUGGCCAUUCUAGAAAUAAAAUCUCAUGAAAUUAACAUAACCUUAUCUCCUGGACACGUAAGCAAAUUUGAUUUAAAUCUUGCCUGCGUUUGCCAGUUGUACAGUCUGGAUAACCCGGUUACCACUAUUUUCAAGAGAAAAUGGUAAAGUAAAAAGUUUCGGUUUGAAUAAAGAAGAGUAGAGAGCUCCCAGCCUCUGAGGACGUCAGCAUCUCCAUUAGACCAACACCCCCUUUUUAUUUUCUACCUUCUCACCAAUGACCCUGCAUUGCACAUGUCGUCUUUUCUACUGGACUGUGAGCCAUCUGAGGACCAGGACUAC